RNAcentral lists this long non-coding RNA (1140 nucleotides) under Apteryx rowi (Okarito brown kiwi). RNAcentral's name for it is "lncRNA (ENSARWG00000005207.1)". The record is from RNAcentral. Lineage: Eukaryota; Metazoa; Chordata; Aves; Apterygiformes; Apterygidae.
CCCCGCUCCCCCAGGCGUGSCGCAGCCCUGCCCGUGGGGUGCCCCGGCACUGUCCCUGCCCCACGGCGCCGCUCGGUGCCAGGGCGCCCGGCCCAGCCUGGCUGUGCGAGCCGUCUGGGGUGCCAGCGGGAUGGGGGUGCGGCAGGCAGGUGCUGGCCGGGGGCCAGGCCAGCCCUGCCCUGCUGCYGCCAACCAGUGCUGUGAGCUGCCCYGAGCAGGGUCCUGCCCGCAGCCCCUCGCCCCCAGCUGUGGGCUUUCCCCAAGCGCUGCCCUGGUUUCACCAUGCGCGGUUUCAUGUUGCGGGUUUUGUCUGUGCGGUGUCCUGCCAACUUGUGCCUGGUGCUGUGAGCGUCCUCCAGGCCUCCUCCUGCUCCAGCCAACUCGCGUCUGGUGCUGUGGGUGUCCUCCAGGCCUUGUCCUGCUCCAGCCAGCUAGUGCCUGGUGCUGUGAGUGUCCUCCAGACCAUGUCUUGCUCUGGCCAGCUAGUGCCUGGUGCUGUGAGUGUCCUCCAGACCAUGUCUUGCUCUGGCCAACUAGUGCCUGGUGCUGUGAGCCUAUUCCAGGCCUUGUCCUUCUGCCAACUCGUGCCUGGUGCUGUGAGAGUCCUCCAGACCAUGUCCUGCUCCAGCCAGCUAGUGCCUGGUGCUGUGAGAGUCCUCCAGACCUCCUCCUGCCAACUAGUGCCUGAUGCUGUCAGCGUACCCAAGCAGUGCCUCCCUCAUGCAGUGCGUGUCCGUCACCAUGACCUUGCCCUCCCCCUUCCCCAUGGUGUCAGUUUGUCUUUCCAGCCCAGCACAAAGCAGCUCUGCUGUCCCUGCCCCCCCCCCCCGGUGUGUUGACUUUGUGCUGUCCUUUCCAGGCCUUUUCCCUCUGCAAUCAGUCAUUAACCUGGGCUUGGAGGCACCAGUCUGCAGCUGCCACCAGCCCCAGGGCCACCAUGCCAGUUUCUGACUGCUGAUAACCUUGGGGACUUCACGUGAGGCGGUGGGAGUGCCUGGCCCCUGGGGUGACAGGCACCAUCAGCACUCGCCCCGGCUUGUAGGGGGAUAAAAGGCCCCUGGUGUGGUGAGGCUGGCACAGGUCUAGCCCAGGGCUCACCUGUCUGCAGGCAGGACCGGGACCUGUCCAGCUCCUCUGCCG